This is a small nuclear RNA of Pseudophryne corroboree (corroboree frog), 190 nucleotides long. RefSeq annotates it as U2 spliceosomal RNA. Lineage: Eukaryota; Metazoa; Chordata; Amphibia; Anura; Myobatrachidae. The record is from RefSeq and is a predicted model, not a curated record. The transcript has a single exon.
AUCUUUUUGUUUUUCUUGUCUAGUAUAUGUUCUUAUCAGUUUAAUAUCUGAUACACCUCUAUCGGAGAGAUGUAUGUAUGUAUAAUGCAUUUAUUGAAUGGAUUUUGGACAGGUGAUGGAAGAAGUUACUCUGUCCAUUCUACGCAUUAACCUGGUAAAACACUUCCACCGGUGGAACUAUGGGGGUCAU